Fukomys damarensis (Damara mole-rat) is the source of this 604-nucleotide long non-coding RNA. RefSeq lists it as uncharacterized. The transcript has 3 exons. The record is from RefSeq and is a predicted model, not a curated record. NCBI's taxonomy places the organism in Eukaryota, Metazoa, Chordata, Mammalia, Rodentia, Bathyergidae.
GCCAGCUAGGGGAAGUCGUCAGUGACAAGUGAGGAGUUACACUGUGUGGUUCAUGGAGGUGGAAGUUUCCGUGCUACUUAUAUCCCAGAUGCAGGCUAGUCAGAGGAGACAUGGCAGCAAGGUCCAGGAACAGAAAUGGACCUCGGUGUGGGCAUGCGAACUCUCUCCAGUUCAGGUGCCUCUGAGAUUCUUUCCUGUGCUAAUCAGGUAAUAGACCCUCAGAAGAAGAAAGCUUUUGCUUCCUUUCUGUGUGGGAUUCAAGACUUUAGUAGUUCCCUGAGGAAGAAUACACAGGACCUUCAGCAAGGCACACACAACGAGGAAAAAACUUGAUGUCAGGCAGAUGGAGGGCUUCAUAAAAGGGAGACGGAAGCUCUGUGUCUUUCCCUCUGUUUCCGUUUGAUUCUCCGACAGUGAAGUUCAGCUGAGAGUGUGGCAAGACUGGGUGAGUCACUUCUGUACAUGUCAACCUGAUGUCCCUCUGAUGUGCUGAAUGUGAGCUCUCCCGUCAUUGAGGGUACCAGAGACAAGCACUGAAGAGCUUUGAGAUGCUGCUCUGAGAAUAUAUCUUUAAGUUCUUGAUAAUGUGCUCCACUGUCGGGAC